GAUGAACGCUGGCGGCGUGCCUAAUACAUGCAAGUCGAGCGAACAGACGAGGAGCUUGCUCCUCUGACGUUAGCGGCGGACGGGUGAGUAACACGUGGAUAACCUACCUAUAAGACUGGGAUAACUUCGGGAAACCGGAGCUAAUACCGGAUAAUAUAUUGAACCGCAUGGUUCAAUAGUGAAAGACGGUUUUGCUGUCACUUAUAGAUGGAUCCGCGCCGCAUUAGCUAGUUGGUAAGGUAACGGCUUACCAAGGCAACGAUGCGUAGCCGACCUGAGAGGGUGAGGGCCACCACGGGAACUGGCACCCGGCCCAGCCUCCACGGGGAGGCGGAGGAGGGGAUUCUUCCGCAAGGGGGAAAGCCCGGAGGGAGCAGGCCCGCGGGAGUAAGAAGGGUUUUCGAAUCUAAAACCUUUUUUAUGAGGAAAAAAAAAAUGUUAAAGUAACUAUGCGCGUCUGGAGGGACCUAAAUAAAAAACCCCCGGCAAACUCCGGC
Molecule: ribosomal RNA, 497 nt
Filed under: uncultured bacterium
Lineage: Bacteria
Description: partial 16S ribosomal RNA
Rfam family: Bacterial small subunit ribosomal RNA
Source: RNAcentral